This 558-nucleotide ribosomal RNA is filed under the name Colletotrichum gloeosporioides. RNAcentral's name for it is "eukaryotic LSU rRNA". The stretch from base 230 to 383 matches the Rfam family "5.8S ribosomal RNA". The record is from RNAcentral. Lineage: Eukaryota; Fungi; Ascomycota; Sordariomycetes; Glomerellales; Glomerellaceae.
UUGGAAGUAAAAAGUCGUAACAAGGUCUCCGUUGGUGAACCAGCGGAGGGAUCAUUACUGAGUUUACGCUCUAUAACCCUUUGUGAACAUACCUAUAACUGUUGCUUCGGCGGGUAGGGUCUCCGCGACCCUCCCGGCCUCCCGCCUCCGGGCGGGUCGGCGCCCGCCGGAGGAUAACCAAACUCUGAUUUAACGACGUUUCUUCUGAGUGGUACAAGCAAAUAAUCAAAACUUUUAACAACGGAUCUCUUGGUUCUGGCAUCGAUGAAGAACGCAGCGAAAUGCGAUAAGUAAUGUGAAUUGCAGAAUUCAGUGAAUCAUCGAAUCUUUGAACGCACAUUGCGCCCGCCAGCAUUCUGGCGGGCAUGCCUGUUCGAGCGUCAUUUCAACCCUCAAGCUCUGCUUGGUGUUGGGGCCCUACAGCUGAUGUAGGCCCUCAAAGGUAGUGGCGGACCCUCCCGGAGCCUCCUUUGCGUAGUAACUUUACGUCUCGCACUGGGAUCCGGAGGGACUCUUGCCGUAAAACCCCCCAAUUUUCCAAAGGUUGACCUCGGAUCA